CGUUGUAGUUCUAGCAGUGGGGCGUUGUAGUUCGUUGUAGUUCUAGCAGUAAACGAUGCCGAUGUCGUGGUGCCGAAUCAAUGGCGACGCGAAAGAGAAAUCGAGUAGGGCCCUGGGGAGAGUACACGCGCAAGCGAGAAAUUUAAAGGAAAUUGACGGAAGAACACCACAAGGAGUGGAGUGUGCGGCUUAAUUUGACUCAACGCGGGAUAACUUACCGGGCCCGACGACCGUAUGAGUGUGACACACGAUAGGUCGAAGAGUGGUGCAUGGCCGUUAACGACGAGUGGAGUGAUCUUUGGGUUAAGUCCGUAAAUUAGUGAGACCUYAGCCGUAAGGGGACAGGUGCGCAAAGCACAGGAAGGAUGGGUCAAGGACAGGUCAGUGAUGCCCUUAGAUGGUCCGGGCUGCACGCGCACUACAGUGGUCGCCGAAAUUUUAUAAAAGAAGUAAAGGCGAUCGAGAGGGAAUGAGCUUUGUAAGAGGCUCAGGAACGAGGAAUUGCUAGUAAUCGCGGACUCAUUAAGACGCGAUGAAUACGUCCCUGUUCUUUGUACACACCGCCCGUCGUUAUCGAAGAUGGAGACAGGCGCGAACGAUCUACCAGAAAGUGAGCGCAGGUCUUUAGAUCUGAUACAAGUCGUAACAAGGUAGCUGUAGGAGAACCUGUAGCUGG
Molecule: ribosomal RNA, 676 nt
Filed under: Loma sp. AUS
Lineage: Eukaryota; Fungi; Microsporidia; Glugeidae
Description: SSU rRNA
Rfam family: Microsporidia small subunit ribosomal RNA
Source: RNAcentral